RNAcentral lists this long non-coding RNA (281 nucleotides) under Ictidomys tridecemlineatus (thirteen-lined ground squirrel). RNAcentral's name for it is "lncRNA (ENSSTOG00000031410.1)". The record is from RNAcentral. Lineage: Eukaryota; Metazoa; Chordata; Mammalia; Rodentia; Sciuridae.
GAGCCCCGCAGUGGCUGGAUGGUCUCUGGCAAGGAGGAGGCAUGGAGCCACGGGGUAAGGAAGCAGAGGAGCUGGAGGCCAAUAACUGUGGGACUCAGGAGUGGCUUCUUGCAGAGCCUAUGGGCAGAGCCCUGCCGGCAGACAUCUCCAUUUCCACUGUUGGAGCAGAGGCCCCCGGGUGGGUCUGUGCCUGGACUGUGGCCCAUGGAAACUGAGAUGAUCCACUGGUCCCCUUAGGUUGCCAGCCGUGUGGCAUUUGACACAGCAAGAGACUGCAAGGC